UACUAUCACAAGGAAACCUGACCAUAGU
Molecule: non-coding RNA, 28 nt
Filed under: Bombyx mori (domestic silkworm)
Lineage: Eukaryota; Metazoa; Arthropoda; Insecta; Lepidoptera; Bombycidae
Source: RNAcentral